Molecule: ribosomal RNA, 439 nt
Filed under: uncultured bacterium
Lineage: Bacteria
Description: partial 16S ribosomal RNA
Rfam family: Bacterial small subunit ribosomal RNA
Source: RNAcentral
CUACGGGCCGCAGCAGUGAGGAAUAUUGCACAAUGGGGGGAACCCUGAUGCAGCAACGCCGCGUGGAGGAUGGCGCAUUUCGGUGUGUAAACUCCUUUUAUAUGUCAAGAAAAUGACGGUAGCAUAUGAAUAAGCACCGGCUAACUCCGUGCCAGCAGCCGCGGUAAUACGGAGGGUGCAAGCGUUACUCGGAAUCACUGGGCGUAAAGGACGCGUAGGCGGGUUGGAAAGUCAGGUGUGAAAUCCUACAGCUUAACUGUAGAACCGCACUUGAAACUUCUAAUCUAGAGUAUGGGAGGGGGAGAUGGAAUUAGUGGUGUAGGGGUAAAAUCCGUAGAUAUCACUAGGAAUACCUAAAGCGAAGGCGAUCUCCUGGAACAUUACUGACGCUAAGGCGUGAAAGCGUGGGGAGCAAACAGGAUUAGAUACCCUCGUAGUC